AAUGCUUCUUUAACCUAUUGGCUUACAUCAAGUGUAGUAUUUAUUCUUAUCAGUUUAAUAUCUGAUAUGUCCCUCAGCAGGGGACUACAUGUUAAGUGGAUUUUUUGAACAGGGAGUCGGCAAAGGGGCUUGAUCCCUCUGCUUCACGUUAGUGGGGCAGUGAUG
The sequence is a small nuclear RNA, 165 nucleotides long. Its record names the gene U2. It matches the Rfam family "U2 spliceosomal RNA". Rfam says of the family: U2 is a small nuclear RNA (snRNA) component of the spliceosome (involved in pre-mRNA splicing). Complementary binding between U2 snRNA (in an area lying towards the 5' end but 3' to hairpin I) and the branchpoint sequence (BPS) of the intron results the bulging out of an unpaired adenosine, on the BPS, which initiates a nucleophilic attack at the intronic 5' splice site, thus starting the first of two transesterification reactions that mediate splicing. The record is from Ensembl.